Molecule: ribosomal RNA, 486 nt
Filed under: uncultured bacterium
Lineage: Bacteria
Description: partial 16S ribosomal RNA
Rfam family: Bacterial small subunit ribosomal RNA
Source: RNAcentral
AUUGAACGCUGGCGGCAUGCCUUACACAUGCAAGUCGAACGGCAGCACGGGUGCUUGCACCUGGUGGCGAGUGGCGAACGGGUGAGUAAUACAUCGGAACAUGUCCUGUAGUGGGGGAUAGCCCGGCGAAAGCCGGAUUAAUACCGCAUACGGUCUACGGAUGAAAGCGGGGGACCUUCGGGCCUCGCGCUAUAGGGUUGGCCGAUGGCUGAUUAGCUAGUUGGUGGGGUAAAGGCCUACCAAGGCGGCGAUCAGUAGCUGGUCUGAGAGGACGACCAGCCACACUGGGACUGAGACACGGCCCAGACUCCUACGGGAGGCAGCAGUGGGGAAUUUUGGACAAUGGGCGAAAGCCUGAUCCAGCAAUGCCGCGUGUGUGAAGAAGGCCUUCGGGUUGUAAAGCACUUUUGUCCGGAAAGAAAUCCUUGGCCCUAAUACGGUCGGGGGAUGACGGUACCGGAAGAAUAAGCACCGGCUAACUACGUG